UUACUUACCUAGCACAUCAGAUACCAGAACCCCAAAGGUGCUUUUCCCCUGGUAAGGCUCAUACAUUGCACUCGGUGUUUGUCAAUCCGUAGGAUUUCCCCUAAUUCAGAAAAGUCAACUGUGUGAUUUGUGGCAGUGGGGGACUGCUUGUUCACUCUACCUUG
Molecule: small nuclear RNA, 164 nt
Organism: Cricetulus griseus (Chinese hamster)
Lineage: Eukaryota; Metazoa; Chordata; Mammalia; Rodentia; Cricetidae
Gene: U1
Rfam family: U1 spliceosomal RNA
About the family: U1 is a small nuclear RNA (snRNA) component of the spliceosome (involved in pre-mRNA splicing). Its 5' end forms complementary base pairs with the 5' splice junction, thus defining the 5' donor site of an intron.
Source: Ensembl